UGUGCACCCAUUUUUUGUCCUAACAGUAUUUAUGAAUUUUUUAUGUUUUAUUUCUGAAAUAUUUUAAUAACUUCAUUUCAUUAUAUAGAUGAGGAAUAAUUUAUUUAACCAAUACCCUGUGGCUGGAUAUUUAACAAAUCUGCACGGGAACAUGAACAUUUCUAUAAUUAUUUCAAAAGUGAAUGAAAUGCUAGGAAAUUAAGGGCAGUACGGCAUUUCUUCCAAAAUUCAGUCUUUCAGGCAUUUAUAAUGGUGGUAAAGUUUUGGGUUCUAUAAUCUAAGAUAAAUAUUGAAAUCUGAGGAUUCAGAGGAGGACAGUAAACACAGCAUUGAGAAAUAGGAAUUGCAGUUAUUUGAGAAAGCUUACAGAUGCCUAUAUUUAUAUUUAUUUAUACAAAAAGAAUAUCCCAUAACAUCUUGUAUUUUUGUUAUGUCACUCUCACAGUCCAUCAAUGUAGAAUUAUCAUGUAUGUCUCCUCUUCACUUCUAGUCUGUGAGCUCCCAGAGGGCAGAAAUCAUCUCAUGUCUAUUUACCCCAUAGUGUAUGCUGUUUGAAGAGAAAAUGUCCAUCGAAUAGGAGUUGAGCAUAAUUGUGACAUCUCAAAGGAAGGGGGAGCAGCGAUAGUUCAGUCCUGCCUGCAGUCACUAUGCUCAUUUUCAUAAGCUUCUACAGGAAUUGCCAGGCAUGUGACUCUGUAAAUACUGCUAGUGUGCUGUUGCGUUUCCUAUUCCCAUGAGGAAGAAUUGAAGAGCUUCUCCUCACUGCCUCACUCCACUAUGUUUGCCUGCUGGAUGGCCACGGUUGGAAGUGUUUCAUUGAAGUGUGAUGAUCUGACACUCUUGUGGCGCAGCUGAGGGACAAGUUUUCCAUAGUGGUGACAUAAUUCAAGUUUUCUGGGCACUUUUUGGACUAAGUAUCUAGGAGAUGAAGCUGUGAGAUGUCUAAAGAAAGAUCAAGAAUGGUAGUGCCUGUGGAGCACAGUGAAUCCAUGUAUUCAAAUUAUGCUGCCUCAAACUUCGAAGGCUGUGAAAUUUUACUAGCCUCUUGAGCAGUAAGGUUACUGGAAAUUUUAGGUUGUUUGAAUCACAACUUCCCACAUCUCAUGACAAAUCAAUUUAGGUGGCUUGUGCCUUGCUAAACUAGGUCUGAUUCUGGUGAGGGUUGGUUGGCGUUUGUUAACAGGAAACAGAAAAUGUCCUUAAUUAGAUCUUUUUUUUUUUGGUAGCGGGUAACAAAAUAAAGGCUCUUAGUCAAGUCUCCAGUUAAUAGAGAAAAACAUCGUAUCUUGUCUCCUUACAUGUUAUGCCUCCCCUCCCGCCUCAAAAUCAGAGAAACAUGUUUAUAAACUCUUAUUUUCCCUAGCAAAAUCAAGCAAGUUGGAGUUGUGGGAGUUAAAUAUUCUUUUAAAAUAGCUCCUUUCUUUAUUCCACUGCUGAAGUUUGUAUAAAAUUGCUAUAAUGUAUUUAAAGUGCUUAGGACCAUGACUGAACAUAGCAUUCAAUAAGUUUCAGCUAUUCGUUUUUUUUUAAAGAAAACAAUAUCAUAAUAUAAAAGCUCACAAAGCUUUUGGAUGCAGUCACAAUAACUAAUAAAUUUGAUCUUAAAAAGGGAGAAGAAUCAAAAUUAAAGUAGCAAUUAAGAUAAUGAAAGGCACGAGAAUAACCUAGAUGCGUAUUAUGUUGUAUUUUUUUAACCUAAUAAGAUAACACUAUAGUUCCUGAAUGUUAGUGAGCAGAGCUAAUUACUUUUCCUUGUUCACAGUGCCACCUUCAGGAAAGAGAAGUUUCAUUUUAAUUUAGUGCAAAUGUAUCCUUACUGGAUUGAGCCAGCUCAGGUACCUAAAGAUCAGGCAUAAUAAAGACGAUGUUUGUUUUAAUUUAUUAUUAUGAGACUAUCUCCUCUGAUUCUUUCUACCUGGCUGUGUUCAGUGCAGAAAAUCAAUCUGUGGGCUUUUACGUUUUGAUGUGGGGCAUUUAAAAAAUUGAUUAGAAAUAAAAUGCAUGGGGCUGGCCUGGUGGCAUGGUGGUUAAGUUUUGCUCUUUGCUUUGGUGGCCCUGGGUUCACCAGUUCGGAUCUCAGGCGUGGACCUAGCACUGCUCAUCAAGCCAUUCUGUGGCAGGCGUCCCACACAGAAAAUAGAGGAAGAUGGGCACAGAUGUUAUCUCAGGGCUAAUCUUCCUCCAAAAAAAAAAAAAAAAAAGAGAGAGAGAGAAAUAAAAUGCAUAUGGUUUCUAAUUUAUUUUCCUUUGGAACACCAUACUUAGCUUAUAAUAUAUAAAUUAUGCAGUUUUUAUGUUAUCUCCAAGAGAUUCAAUAGUUUUCCUUGAGAAUUUCUGCCUUUAACCAGUCUCAUAAGGAAAUUUUCCAUUAUAUCAAAUAAAAAAUGGAAUUAAGCAAUUAUUUACUUCUAGUAAUUAAAAUAUUACCCAAUGGAUGAAUAAUUGGUUGAGGAAGCUGGAGAAGGUCAGAUUAAACAACCCGAGGGAGGGGAAGGGGGAGAGGUACUAGAACUUUCCAGGGCUGCAUUGUCCAAUGUCAUUUGGGGUGGGGUGAAUCGUGGUAAAUCCUAAGCAGGAAAAGAAGAGGGUGCUAUGACAGCAAAUAAUUGGAGGUUGGGAUAUGGCCUGAAAAGUCAAGAAAGGAAGUAAUGUUUGAAUUGAACUCUCGAAUAAGGUCAGAAAUUAACUAGGUCAAGGAGGAGGGGCAACAGGAGGAACAAAAUAUACAAAAAUCUUAAAACGAAAGGAGUAUGGUUUCUUUAAGGAAAAGAAAGGUCGCUGUAAAUAGAAUGCAAG
Molecule: long non-coding RNA, 2796 nt
Organism: Equus caballus (horse)
Lineage: Eukaryota; Metazoa; Chordata; Mammalia; Perissodactyla; Equidae
Source: Ensembl